Molecule: transfer RNA, 128 nt
Filed under: Burkholderia mallei GB8 horse 4
Lineage: Bacteria; Pseudomonadati; Pseudomonadota; Betaproteobacteria; Burkholderiales; Burkholderiaceae
Description: tRNA-Ala
Rfam family: tRNA (bases 2-74)
About the family: Transfer RNA (tRNA) molecules are approximately 80 nucleotides in length. Their secondary structure includes four short double-helical elements and three loops (D, anti-codon, and T loops).
Source: RNAcentral
UGGGGGCAUAGCUCAGCUGGGAGAGCACCUGCUUUGCAAGCAGGGGGUCGUCGGUUCGAUCCCGUCUGCCUCCACCAAUUGCGAUGAUCGUUGGCGCUUUAGCGCUUACGGGCAUCUCACUCCCGAAG